UACGUAGGCAGCGAGCGUUGUUCGGAGUUACUGGGCGUAAAGGGUGUGUAGGCGGUCCCUUAAGUUUGGUGUGAAAUCUCCCGGCUCAACUGGGAGGGUGCGCCGGAUACUGAGGGGCUAGAGUGCGGAAGAGGCGAGUGGAAUUCCUGGUGUAGCGGUGAAAUGCGCAGAUAUCAGGAGGAACACCUAUUGCGAAGGCAGCUCGCUGGGACGUAACUGACGCUGAGACGCGAAAGCGUGGGGAGCAAACAGG
Molecule: ribosomal RNA, 253 nt
Filed under: uncultured bacterium
Lineage: Bacteria
Description: partial 16S ribosomal RNA
Rfam family: Bacterial small subunit ribosomal RNA
Source: RNAcentral